This is a non-coding RNA of Melozone crissalis (California towhee), 546 nucleotides long. Lineage: Eukaryota; Metazoa; Chordata; Aves; Passeriformes; Passerellidae. The record is from the annotation of a RefSeq genome assembly.
AUGGCGCGCACCCCCAGCCAGUCCCGAGUUGGCAACCCCGACGCGGCCGACGGCGGGGAGACGCUGUCCCAAGCCCCAAGGCUGCUGGAGUGCGGGGGGGACCUCCAGCCCCCCGGGGGCUCCCUGCGCCUCCUCUGCCGAGGGUCCGGCUUCUUUUUCAGCGGUUUUGACAUGCUCUGGAUCCGCCAGAGACCCGGGCAGGGCCUGGAGUGGCUCGCGGUGAUCUACAGCAGUGGUUCCAGCACCAGAUACGCGCCCUCGGUUCAGGGCCGGUUCAGGAUCUCCAGGGACAACGGGCAGAGCUCGGUGAUGCUGAACACGAACAACCUCAAGGACGAGGAUUCUGCCACCUAUUUCUUUGCCAAAACUUCUGGUAGUGGUUACUAUAAUCACGCUGCUGCAUAUUGUGUAGCCCUGCCCAUGCCCCCAGGGUCACGGCCGCCCACAGCGCUGCGGGAGAAAGGGCAGGUGGGGAUGAGAAACCUGAUUGGUCCAGGGCCUCAAAGCAGGCGUGGCAAUCUGGAAAACGGGAUAGGAGGAGGAUGA